GACAGAGGUCUCAAACGUUGUUCGGAAUUACUGGGCAUAAAGCGCACGUAGGCGGUCCGCUAAGUUCUGUGUGAAAUACCCCGGCUCAACCGGGGAACUGCGCAGGAUACUGGCGGGCUUGAGGUCGGUAGGGGUGAGUGGAACUCCAGGUGGAGCGGUGAAAUGCGUAGAUAUCUGGAGGAACACCGGUGGCGAAAGCGGCUCACUGGACCGAAACUGACGCUGAGGUGCGAAAGCUAGGGUAGCAAACGGG
Molecule: ribosomal RNA, 253 nt
Filed under: uncultured bacterium
Lineage: Bacteria
Description: partial 16S ribosomal RNA
Rfam family: Bacterial small subunit ribosomal RNA
Source: RNAcentral